This 436-nucleotide unclassified non-coding RNA is filed under the name Hevea brasiliensis (rubber tree). Lineage: Eukaryota; Viridiplantae; Streptophyta; Magnoliopsida; Malpighiales; Euphorbiaceae. The record is from RNAcentral.
AGCAAUUAUUAUGUACAGCAAUAGAACAAUCACGCACGUCAACAGGGCCCUGUCAAGUAAAUAUAGAAUUUGCACUCACUAAAAAUGUCAUUAAGCUAUUAAACUAACAAUUUUAAACCAUUUGAACUAUGCCAUUAUGAUUGCUUUGUGAAGGUUCAGGGUUCUGCAUUGUACCACCUAAAUUAACACACACCUAUUUACAAUAAUUCUUGUACUAGAAUUCAAUUCAAAUGAAUUUAUAGUAAAAUUCAUGUGCUUAAAAUAAAUUCUAAAAUGAUACAAUUCAUUUGAAUGCUAUUAUUUGGAAUAAUUGAAAAGCAAAAUAAAUGUCUUCACUUUCUUAUUUUACCCUUGUUUAUAAAGAGAGGUUUAAUUUAAAUAGGGGAGUGUUAAUUUAUAAUAAUAGACCCAAUUAAAUGAAUUGAAUUCUUGCAAA